This 72-nucleotide transfer RNA is filed under the name Plutella xylostella (diamondback moth). RNAcentral's name for it is "tRNA-Ser". The record is from RNAcentral. Lineage: Eukaryota; Metazoa; Arthropoda; Insecta; Lepidoptera; Plutellidae.
ACCGAAUGGCGUAGUGGUUACUGAAUCUGACUACUGAGCCGAAGGUCCCGGGUUCGAUUCCCGGCUGCGGCA